RNAcentral lists this ribosomal RNA (330 nucleotides) under Lingulaulax polyedra. Its description in RNAcentral is "Lingulodinium polyedra partial Bacterial small subunit ribosomal RNA". It matches the Rfam family "Bacterial small subunit ribosomal RNA", at positions 1168 to 1521 of the family's 1533-position model. Lineage: Eukaryota; Dinophyceae; Gonyaulacales; Lingulodiniaceae. The record is from RNAcentral.
GGAAGGCGGGGAUGACGUCAAGUCCUCAUGGCCCUUACGCGUUGGGCUACACACGUGCUACAAUGGCAGUGACAAUGGGAUAAUCCCCAAAAGCUGUCUCAGUUCGGAUUGUCGGCUGCAACUCGCCGGCAUGAAGUUGGAAUCGCUAGUAAUCGUGGAUCAGCAUGCCACGGUGAAUACGUUCCCGGGCCUUGUACACACCGCCCGUCACACCAUGGGAGUUGGAUCUACCCGAAGAUUGUGAGCUAACUUCGGAGGCAGCAAGCCACGGUAGGUUCAGCGACUGGGGUGAAGUCGAAACAAGGUAGCCGUAGGGGAACCUGCGGCUGG